AGCUGGUAUUAGUUGCAAUCUCGCUAAAUAUUUUCCUUAGCUGCGAAUUUGUUUUUUUUAGUAAGCCUUAUGGUUGAAGCCUUUUUGUUAACAAACUGCUUAUAGAGUUUAGAUUUUAUAGUGAAAAGUACCGCGAGGGAAAGGUUAAACAUCGUAGUAAUACGUGUGAAAACUGAAUUUUAAUGCAAAAAUCAAAUAACGCGUUAGUGUUAUUGUACCUUUUGUAUAAUGGGUUGGCGAGUAGUUUUACAGUUUUAUAGAACUGACCCGAAACUAAGCGAUCUAAUAAUGAGCAAGUGUUAGACUGAACUCAUAAAUGUUGCAAAAUUUUGAGAUGACUUGUUAUUAGGGGUGAAAGGCUUAUCAAGCUUAGUGAUAGCUGGUUCUCCACGAAAUCUAUUUAAGUAGAGUGACUUUUGCUUUUUGUUUAGGUAAUUCUCUGACUGAGUGGUCGCUCGCUUCGUCAAUGUAUAAAUUAAACAAAACAUGAAAGUUAAACAGACUAGU
RNAcentral lists this ribosomal RNA (507 nucleotides) under Elusimicrobiota bacterium. Its description in RNAcentral is "Elusimicrobia bacterium (bioreactor metagenome) partial 23S ribosomal RNA". It matches the Rfam family "Bacterial large subunit ribosomal RNA", at positions 353 to 1028 of the family's 2925-position model. Lineage: Bacteria; Pseudomonadati; Elusimicrobiota. The record is from RNAcentral.